This 512-nucleotide ribosomal RNA is filed under the name uncultured bacterium. RNAcentral describes it as "bacterial SSU rRNA". It matches the Rfam family "Bacterial small subunit ribosomal RNA", at positions 15 to 518 of the family's 1533-position model. The record is from RNAcentral.
GAUCCUGGCUUAGGAUGAACGCUAGCUACAGGCUUAACACAUGCAAGUCGAGGGGCAGCAUGUGGUGCUUGCAACCAAUGAUGGCGACCGGCGCACGGGUGAGUAACGCGUAUCCAACCUUCCCUAUAGUAGAGGAUAGCCCGGCGAAAGUCGGAUUAAUACUCUAUGUUUUCCAAUGCAGACAUCUAAAAUGGAACAAAGGUUCACCGCUAUAGGAUGGGGAUGCGUCUGAUUAGAUAGUCGGCGGGGUAACGGCCCACCGAGUCGACGAUCAGUAGGGGUUCUGAGAGGAAGGUCCCCCACAUUGGAACUGAGACACGGUCCAAACUCCUACGGGAGGCAGCAGUGAGGAAUAUUGGUCAAUGGGCGAGAGCCUGAACCAGCCAAGUAGCGUGCAGGAUGACGGCCCUAUGGGUUGUAAACUGCUUUUAUACAGGGAUAAAGUGACGUACGUGUACGUUUUUGUAGGUACUGUAUGAAUAAGGACCGGCUAAUUCCGUGCCAGCAGCUGC